RNAcentral lists this ribosomal RNA (252 nucleotides) under uncultured bacterium. Its description in RNAcentral is "partial 16S ribosomal RNA". It matches the Rfam family "Bacterial small subunit ribosomal RNA", at positions 524 to 776 of the family's 1533-position model. The record is from RNAcentral.
UACGGAGGAUGCGAGCGUUAUCCGGAUUUAUUGGGUUUAAAGGGUGCGUAGGCGGAUCGUUAAGUCAGUGGUCAAAUUGAGGGGCUCAACCCCUUCCCGCCAUUGAAACUGGCGAUCUUGAGUGGAAGAGAAGUAUGCGGAAUGCGUGGUGUAGCGGUGAAAUGCAUAGAUAUCACGCAGAACUCCGAUUGCGAAGGCAGCGUACCGGCGCCCAACUGACGCUGAAGCACGAAGGCGUGGGUAUCGAACAGG